CGUCUUGAAACACGGACCAAGGAGUCUAGCAUGUGCGCGAGUCAUAGGGAUUAUCCAUACGAAACCCUGAGGCGCAAUGAAAGUGAACGUUAGGGACGAUGGCGAACGGUUCGCCGUUCCCGCCCGCAGUCCCGGGGUGUUUCGAGAAAUGCCAUCGUGCGAUUAUCGAGACUCACCGAGAGCGUACACGCUGGGACCCGAAAGAUGGUGAACUAUGCCUGGUCAGGUCGAAGUCAGGGGA
RNAcentral lists this ribosomal RNA (241 nucleotides) under Chimarra rossi. RNAcentral's name for it is "partial 28S large subunit ribosomal RNA". It matches the Rfam family "Eukaryotic large subunit ribosomal RNA", at positions 650 to 859 of the family's 3401-position model. The record is from RNAcentral. Lineage: Eukaryota; Metazoa; Arthropoda; Insecta; Trichoptera; Philopotamidae.